Molecule: transfer RNA, 73 nt
Filed under: Bos taurus (domestic cattle)
Lineage: Eukaryota; Metazoa; Chordata; Mammalia; Artiodactyla; Bovidae
Also listed under: 2 other names
Rfam family: tRNA
About the family: Transfer RNA (tRNA) molecules are approximately 80 nucleotides in length.
Source: Rfam by way of RNAcentral
UCUCUGGUGGUCCAGUGGCUAUGACUCCACAUUUCCAAUGCAGAGGGCCCAAGUUCGAUCCUUGGUGAGGGAA